UUAUGCGAUUACUGGUGUGAAUUGCAGAAUUCAGUGAAUCAUCGAAUCUUUGAACGCACCUUGCGCCCUUUGGUAUUCCGAGGGGCAUGCCUGUUUGAGUGUCAUUAAAUACCAUCAACCCUCUUUUGACUUCGGUCUCGAGAGUGGCUUGGAAGUGGAGGUCUGCUGGAGCCUAACGGAGCCAGCUCCUCUUAAAUGUAUUAGCGGAUUUCCCUUGCGGGAUCGCGUCUCCGAUGUGAUAAUUUCUACGUCGUUGACCAUCUCGGGGCUGACUUAGUCAGUUUCAAUAGGAGUCUGCUUCUAACCGUCUCUUGACUGAGACUAGCGACUUGUGCGCUAACUUUUGACUUGACCUCAAAUCAGGUAGGACUACCCGCUGAACUUAAGCAUAUCAAAAGGCGGAGGAA
This 407-nucleotide ribosomal RNA is filed under the name Schizophyllum sp. BAB-3985. RNAcentral's name for it is "eukaryotic LSU rRNA". The stretch from base 1 to 104 matches the Rfam family "5.8S ribosomal RNA", at positions 51 to 154 of the family's 154-position model. Lineage: Eukaryota; Fungi; Basidiomycota; Agaricomycetes; Agaricales; Schizophyllaceae. The record is from RNAcentral.